CCCAAACUGCCUCUGCCUAGGUAUUAGGACGGUCUUCAAGUGCUUAUAGGCCAACUGUCGCUAUUUUUAUGAAUAAUUGGAAAUAGUAAUCCACCUCUUCAAAUCCUGCGGCAGUUGCACGAACUGACCUCACUCAUUAUCCGCGACCGUUCACCUACUACCGUCGUAUUACACGUAAAUUAAAAGAGUGUUUCAACAUAAUUUGGUGCCCGCCUAAACGUUUUUAUUUUUUUGUUUUUUCACAUAUCUUUCAAAAGCCCUAAAUCAUCUCUCUAGUACGAUUGAAUCAACAAAAUCCCAAAAUUUAUAUUCCUCUUAAAUCUCUUUCGUUCUUCUUUAGCAUAUCAAGUCUGUCCUCUCAUUAUAUCAAAUCUCUUCACCUCCUUCUGCUUUUGACGCAACUGGAAAGAAAGCCGUCGGUGAGAAAAUCCAGGUUUUCCUCUUCUUUCUUUCGGAUUUUCUUUCCCCUCUCCCGGUGUUGCUUUGUGGCGCCCGCGACCAUGCGGUUCCAUACGCUACUCUGGUGGUCUCUGAGCACUAACAUAUAUAUUAAUCUUUAUGCGCUAAUAUCUUGCCGCCGGGAGAGGGGAAGGAAAACUCGGACAAAAGAAGAAGAAGAAAACAUGGAUUAUCCUCACAUUUGUAACACUCGACACCAAAUAUGCAUGAAGCAUCCCAAGAUAAACACAUCUGCUCCGUUAUUAUUAUCACAAACCAUACAACAUGGGAACAUAUGUUGUAAGUUUGCUAUGAAUCUAAAGGGAUGAUGAGAUAAAUGAACGCAACUUUGAUGCGCUGAAAAUUAGCUCUAUAAAGUUUAGAUCUAAUACAUCAUAUCUUGCUCAAAGAAGAAUUCCAUAUUUCAAAGAAGCAAGGAACUUACUCACAUGUUGGGUUUUCUUUUGAAGCAAAUGUCAAAGAAGAAUUCCAUAUUUCAGAUGCUGAUGAUGAUGAAGAUGCAGCAUAUUUUUGAUCUAGAAGGUUAUAAUCUGAUUGCAUACUCAAGGCAUUGCAUGUCAAUCCCGCUUCUGGUGUAUCUAUUAAUAAAGGUUAUCAUCGUCACAUUACAUGUUGAUCCUGCUUCCGGUGUAUCUAUUGAUAAAGGUGCUAAAGUCUUGAAGCCAUCUGUAAGGU
Vicia villosa (hairy vetch) is the source of this 1134-nucleotide long non-coding RNA. RefSeq lists it as uncharacterized. Lineage: Eukaryota; Viridiplantae; Streptophyta; Magnoliopsida; Fabales; Fabaceae. The record is from RefSeq and is a predicted model, not a curated record. The transcript has 5 exons.